Molecule: long non-coding RNA, 1420 nt
Filed under: Strigops habroptila (Kakapo)
Lineage: Eukaryota; Metazoa; Chordata; Aves; Psittaciformes; Psittacidae
Description: lncRNA (ENSSHBG00005009646.1)
Source: RNAcentral
CAAAUGUGGACUUUUUAUUACUGAAGGCUAAUUUCAGAAUAUUACAUUUGCCAGUACAUGAUAGAGUUGUCAUGACCUUGAUUCUUUUUAACCCAUUACCAUUGGGUUAGUGUUAGUCCUUAGAAAUAACAUUUAUUUUGCUUUCAUUUACUCAGUCUACUGACUACUUCACAUGGCAAAGAACCUGUGGAUACUAAUAAACAGAAGAACAGUCAGUUACAGAAGCAGAGACAAACAGCUAUCAAUAGUCCCUAAAUAAACACAUAUUUUAAAGGAACGUGAUUUUUCUGAGUGGCUCACAGUUUCCCUUAAUUAGAAGAAUAUUGCUUUAGAAAGCUUCUAAAGAGAAGGAACCGAGAUUUGAUAAGGACUAGACUGUUACAGAAAAAAAAGUUUGUAAAGGUGUAAUGAAAGAGGAUCACAAAAGGAAGCAGAAAUACUACCCACCUGGCAGAAAACUCUUAUAGCUGUCAAAUUAAGUGUCUGCAGUACAAUAAAAGAACAGAAAGUUAGAAGCUUAAAUAAUGCCAUCAUUAUCAUAAUAUAUGAAACAAAAUACUUACACCAGAGCCAGAAGAUUCACACACUAUGUUAAAGAGUUUUAUAUAUCCUUUGCAAAAAUAGCCUAGAACUAAAGGCAAUUUGGUUUCGAUUUGCAGACUGUGUUCAGAUGAAGUUUUGGUCCAGGUUAAGUUUUGCUGUAUAUCCUAGGGAUCCAUGUUUCAUUCAAAUAUUUUAUCUAAUUAUAGAACUAAGGAACAACUUCAUUUAGCUAUUGGCAGCUAAAACGCUUUUGUUCAGACUGCAAAGUUGUUAUUUUUUUUGAAUCAGUGAUAUUUAUCACUUAAAAGCACUGAAAUACUUGAAUACUUUUAUUAGAAAAUGGUGUCAUAAACUAAACUAACCAAGACAUAAAUGCUGAAUUUUUAUUACUUUUUUCUUCUCUCCCCCCAUGCCCCCCAACACAAAGGUAUAUACAGAGUACGAUAAGAUACUACUUCCACAUAGCAUUGAACAAGGAAGAACAUGUUCAAGAGAUGGGUUACAUUUUCUUCAAUGUAUUUGGAUUGAAGUUCCCCAUGCACUAAUUUUACUGCUACAUUCCUGAGGAAGAAAAAGAAAACAGAACCUGGCCUACUGGUCUAUCUAAGAAUGCAGACUCAUUUUGGACCAUUUUGAUGUAUCGAACAUUAGCUAAAUCUACAACUGACUAGCUAUAUUGCCAGAAUUCACGUUGCCCUACUUAAAGUUAUCUCUGGUUUAUGCAUUCAAGUAGUACAGUGAGGUUUCAUCUGGGACUAUGAGCAGUUAGAGACAGAGCUUUGUUUUCAAACUGACUAUCUUUCUCUAGACUAUUUACAAGACUACAGUGUAACUACUGAUCUUUUCAAAGAGGUUUUGGUUAAAAAAAAAAAAAAAA